GACGAACGCUGGCGGCGUGCUUAACACAUGCAAGUCGAGCGGUAAGGCCCUUUCGGGGGUACGACGAGCGGCGAACGGGUGAGUAACACGUGGGUGACCUGCCCUCAGCUCUGGGAUAAGCCUGGGGAAACCGGGUCUAAUACCGGAUAUGACUCCAUGACGCAUGUUGUGGGGUGGAAAGCCUUGUGCGGCUGAGGAUGGGCCCGCGGCCUAUCAGCUUGUUGGUGGGGUGAUGGCCUACCAAGGCGACGACGGGUAGCCGGCCUGAGAGGGCGACCGGCCACACUGGGACUGAGACACGGCCCAGACUCCUACGGGAGGCAGCAGUGGGGAAUCUUGCGCAAUGGGCGAAAGCCUGAACGCAGCGACGCCGCGUGAGGGAUGACGGCCU
This 391-nucleotide ribosomal RNA is filed under the name uncultured bacterium. Its description in RNAcentral is "bacterial SSU rRNA". It matches the Rfam family "Bacterial small subunit ribosomal RNA", at positions 28 to 417 of the family's 1533-position model. The record is from RNAcentral.